GACGAACGCUGGCGGCGUGCCUAAUACAUGCAAGUAGAACGCUGAAGGAGGAGCUUGCUCUUCUGGAUGAGUUGCGAACGGGUGAGUAACGCGUUGGUAACCUGCCUGGUAGCGGGGGAUAACUAUUGGAAACGAUAGCUAAUACCGCAUAACAGUAGAUGUUGCAUGACAUUUGCUUAAAAGGUGCAAUUGCACCACUACCAGAUGGACCUGCGUUGUAUUAGCUAGUUGGUGGGGUAACGGCUCACCAAGGCGACGAUACAUAGCCGACCUGAGAGGGUGAUCGGCCACACUGGGACUGAGACACGGCCCAGACUCCUACGGGAGGCAGCAGUAGGGAAUCUUCGGCAAUGGACGGAAGUCUGACCGAGCAACGCCGCGUGAGUGAAGAAGGUUUUCGGAUCGUAAAGCUCUGUUGUAAGAGAAGAACGAGUGUGAGAGUGGAAAGUUCACACUGUGACGGUAUCUUACCAGAAAGGGACGGCUAACUACGUG
RNAcentral lists this ribosomal RNA (495 nucleotides) under uncultured bacterium. RNAcentral's name for it is "partial 16S ribosomal RNA". It matches the Rfam family "Bacterial small subunit ribosomal RNA", at positions 28 to 507 of the family's 1533-position model. The record is from RNAcentral.